This 559-nucleotide long non-coding RNA is filed under the name Lupinus mutabilis. Its description in RNAcentral is "partial ncRNA". Lineage: Eukaryota; Viridiplantae; Streptophyta; Magnoliopsida; Fabales; Fabaceae. The record is from RNAcentral.
AAAAUUCUAACAAACUACCAUCUCAAAGUGUGAUUAAUCCAAAUAAUGUGGGUGUUAUCUCAUUGAGGUCAGGCAAACAGAUUGGAGUACCCUCACCAAACUCUGAUAAACAAAAUGAAGAUGAUCUAUCUACUUCUAAAAGAAAGUGUCUCGUUUAUGAGGAGUCUAGCACAAAAAUCCAUGUCAGUGAGCCUCAUUCCUCUUCUUCAACAACUUCACAACUACCACCUUCCAUUCUUCUUCCAUUUCCACCAAAAAUCACUCCUAGCAAGAAGAUGGAAGAAGUAGAUAAUGAGAUUCUUGAAACUUUCAGAAAAGUAUAGGUGAAUAUACUUCUACAUGAUGCUAUCAAACAGAUUCCAAUAUAUACAAAGUUUCUCGAGGAGUUGUGCACUCACAAAAGGAAGCUAAAGGGCAAUGAGAGGAUCAACAUGGGUAGGAAUGUUUCUGCACUCAUAGGUAAACCCACGCCUCAUAUUCCAGAAAAGUGUAAGGACCCAGGUACAUUCUCUAUACCUUGCAUCAUAGGUAAUAAUAAAUUUGAAAAUGCAAUGCUAGA